AUUAUUAUUAUUAUUAUCACACCGUUGGUCUCCCACCAUAUGCUGUCAUCAUCACAAAUGAUCUGUCCCUAAAAGUUAAUAUCCACCAUCCCCCCUGGCUUUUUUUUACAACUCGACCACUUAUCGUAAUAACUCGAGAACUGUGGUCUGGGUCUGAACAUGCACAGAACUUUGACACUCAUUUUCAAUUUAACACAGCCCGACUUGACACCAGAGGAUGGAACAAAUGAAACAGAAUCCGCUGAAAUGGAUGACGAUGAGCAGUGUUUCACAAACAUCUUCAACGAUCCUGAAAUCCAAGAGCAACCCAUCUACUCUGGUGCAUCAAUUAACCGUGGACAGCUACUGUGCCUCAUUCUGGCCUUCAUCUUGAAGCAUAGCAUUAGUGGCAGUGGAUUAAAAGAUUUGUUGGAUCUUUUAAA
Long non-coding RNA from Gadus macrocephalus (Pacific cod), 422 nucleotides. RefSeq lists it as uncharacterized. The transcript has 2 exons. NCBI's taxonomy places the organism in Eukaryota, Metazoa, Chordata, Actinopteri, Gadiformes, Gadidae. The record is from RefSeq and is a predicted model, not a curated record.